UACGAAGGGGGCUAGCGUUGCUCGGAAUCACUGGGCGUAAAGCGCACGUAGGCGGCUUCUUAAGUCAGGGGUGAAAUCCUGGAGCUCAACUCCAGAACUGCCUUUGAUACUGAGGAGCUAGAGUCCGGGAGAGGUGAGUGGAACUCCGAGUGUAGAGGUGAAAUUCGUAGAUAUUCGGAAGAACACCAGUGGCGAAGGCGGCUCACUGGCCCGGUACUGACGCUGAGGUGCGAAAGCGUGGGGAGCAAACAGG
RNAcentral lists this ribosomal RNA (253 nucleotides) under uncultured bacterium. RNAcentral's name for it is "partial 16S ribosomal RNA". It matches the Rfam family "Bacterial small subunit ribosomal RNA", at positions 524 to 776 of the family's 1533-position model. The record is from RNAcentral.